AUGGACGCAGCCUGAUCCAGCCAUGCCGCGUGAGUGAUGACGGCCUCUAGGGUUGUAAAGCUCUUUCGCCAGGGACGAUAAUGACGGUACCUGAAGAAGAAGCCCCGGCUAACUUCGUGCCAGCAGCCGCGGUAAUA
RNAcentral lists this ribosomal RNA (137 nucleotides) under uncultured type II methanotroph. RNAcentral describes it as "partial 16S ribosomal RNA". It matches the Rfam family "Bacterial small subunit ribosomal RNA", at positions 371 to 525 of the family's 1533-position model. The record is from RNAcentral. Lineage: Bacteria; Pseudomonadati; Pseudomonadota; Alphaproteobacteria; Hyphomicrobiales; Methylocystaceae.